RNAcentral lists this ribosomal RNA (426 nucleotides) under uncultured bacterium. RNAcentral describes it as "partial 16S ribosomal RNA". It matches the Rfam family "Bacterial small subunit ribosomal RNA", at positions 354 to 796 of the family's 1533-position model. The record is from RNAcentral.
GUGAGGAAUUUUCCGCAAUGGGCGAAAGCCUGACGGAGCAAUGCCGCGUGAAGGAUGAAGGCCUAUGGGUUGUAAACUUCUUUUCUUAGAGAAGAAUAUUGACGGUAUCUGAGGAAUAAGCACCGGCUAACUCCGUGCCAGCAGCCGCGGUAAUACGGAGGGUGCAAGCGUUAUCCGGAAUCAUUGGGUUUAAAGGGUCCGCAGGCGGGCUAUCAAGUCAGAGGUGAAAUCCCACAGCUUAACUGUGGAACUGCCUUUGAAACUGAUGGUCUUGAAUUAAGUGGGCGUUGGCGGAAUAUGACAUGUAGCGGUGAAAUGCAUAGAUAUGUCAUGGAACACCGAAAGCGAAGGCAGCUAACGAUACUUAUAUUGACGCUCAUGGACGAAAGCGUGGGUAGCGAACAGGAUUAGAAACCCGUGUAGUCC